GCCGCGCGUGACGGUGGUGUCGCCCGCAGGCGGCCGAGCGCGGCCACCGGGACGUCUGCGCCCUGCUCCUGCAGCUCGACCCGGCGCUGGCGGCAGCCCGCGACGCCAGGGGACGGCGGCCCUGCGACACGGCGGACCCCGCGGUCCGGGACCUGCUGGAUGGCUGAGGGGGACGCGGUGGUGGCGCACGGAGAGCAUCGGUACCGAGAUGUGCUCCUGGCCGGGGCAGCGCGGCGAGGCCACCUCAGAGCCGCGGGCUCUGGGCCACCUGUCCCCGCGCCCUGUCACCUCCCAGGACAGAAGCGCCCCCUCAAAUGGAGCUGGAACCUCCUGGGCUUCGGUUUGUGGCCGGUGCCUCUCGUCCUGUCGCUGGGCACAGCUGAAAAGAGACCGGCUCCAUCCUCUGGACACCCUCCCCUCAGAUAUUUGCACACCUUGAUGGGGCCUCCGGGGGAGGCUCAGCGCCUCGCCCUGCUGCCAGCACCCUUCCGACGCCCCCCAGGAUCCCGUUGGCGCUCCCCGAGCACCGAGGGCGAAGCGAAUGGGCAGCCCGGGAGCUCUCAGCCUCCAUCCCCACCCCAAAGCACGCAAGAGGCCGACAGUACAGAUAUAGAGAUUUUUUUUUUUUAUUACCCAAUCGGCAAAAAAAAUAAAAUUCCAGAGUCGGUUCCACAACCUGGGGGGGGGGGCUGCAACAGCGGCACCGGCCCCUGCGGGGCCUCCGGGCCCGGCCUCCCCCUCCCCAAAAUAUACAAAUCAAACCCGAUGCGAAAAAUAAAUACAGAUUCUCGGGGGGGGAAGGGUUGCAUAGAGGAAGAUUUAAUAAAAAAGUUUUUUUUUUUUUUUAAUUUCCAUCAUGAUUUAUUAUUAUUAUUAUUAUUAUUACUUCUAGCAUCUCCCCGCAGAAGAACCUAGGACCUGAUAGUCGCGACACGAUUAACAAAAAUAAUUAACCUUCUCCCAAUAACUUACAGCGGUCACCCAGGGG
This 988-nucleotide long non-coding RNA is filed under the name Anser cygnoides (Swan goose). Its description in RNAcentral is "lncRNA (ENSACDG00005018291.1)". Lineage: Eukaryota; Metazoa; Chordata; Aves; Anseriformes; Anatidae. The record is from RNAcentral.